GACGAACGCUGGCGGCGUGCUUAACACGUGCAAGUCGAACGGAAAGGCCUGCUUUCCCUUGUGGAUUGCGGGUACUCGAGUGGCGAACGGGUGAGUAACACGUGCGUGAUCUGCCCCCAACUUGGGUAUAAGCCUGGGAAACUGGGUCUACUUCCCGAUAGUACUGCAGGGUGGUGCCUGUGGUUGAAAACGAUUUUCUUGUGGUUGGGGAUGAGCUCGCGGCCUAUCAGCUUGUUGGUGGGGUAAUGGCCUCCCAAGGUGGCGACGGGUAGCCUGCCUGGGAGGGUGGACGGCCACAUUGGGACUGAGAUACGGCCCAGACUCCUACGGGAGGCAGGAGUGGGGAAGAUUGCACAAGGGGCGUAAUCCAGAGGCAGCGACGGGGUGUAGGUGAUGACGGCGUUCGGGUGGUAAUCUCCGUUCGAGCGCGAGGAAGCCACCUGGUUGGAAGGGUGGUGACGGUAGUGGUAGAAGAAGCACCGGCUAACUACGUG
Molecule: ribosomal RNA, 494 nt
Filed under: uncultured bacterium
Lineage: Bacteria
Description: partial 16S ribosomal RNA
Rfam family: Bacterial small subunit ribosomal RNA
Source: RNAcentral